This is a long non-coding RNA of Lepus europaeus (European hare), 1629 nucleotides long. RefSeq lists it as uncharacterized. The record is from RefSeq and is a predicted model, not a curated record. The transcript is spliced from 4 exons. Lineage: Eukaryota; Metazoa; Chordata; Mammalia; Lagomorpha; Leporidae.
AAGCCGGAGUUGAGCGAGGCCCGGGCUAUCCGGCGCCAGAGCAGGUCGCAGCUGGUGAAGCGCCGCAGCCAGCGGCACACCUGGGCCAGGCGGCCGAGGGCCCGCAUGUCCAGGCCACAUGCCGGGGCCCCAGGAACAGCAGCCCUGGAAGUUCCACACCCCGGUUUCUCACACAGGUUCUCAUGGCACCCACCUGAGAGGAGAGCACCCGAGGUCUACACCUGUGCUGUCCAACACCGUCCCUCCUUGCCACGUGACUCUGAAGCAUUUGACGUGUGACUGGUUCAAAUUGAAGUAUGCUGUAUCAUGCUGUUGGAAAGCUAUCAAGACAGGAACACUGCAAAUUAAGGAAAUAUCACAUCAAUUCAACAUUUAUGGAUCUCUGUACAGUGAGGUGCUCUGGAAAGAUAAAUGUGGUUCUUACAUUUUGUGUUUAGAUUUGAGUAAGACAUGUUUGUAAUUUCUUACUAUAAAACUAUUUUUUAAAAAAGAUUUUUAUUUAUUUACUUGGAAAUCAGAGAGAUGGAGAGACAGAGAUCUUCCAUCUGCUGGUUCACGUCCCGGACCAGCUGGGGCUGGGCCCUGUCAAACCAGGAGCUUCAUCGGGGUCUCCCACUAAGUGGUAGGGGCCCAAACACUUGGGCCAUGUUCUGCUGCUUUUCCCAGGUUUUUCCAUCAGAAGUGGAACAGUGGACAUGAAUGCUGGCCCCCUAAUGGGACUACUUUUUAACCCUUCUUUAAUACAUCUUGAAGUUGAGUAGUUCAUCAACAUUCUGCCUAAUUUUUAGUGAACUAGAAGGGACAAUUAUUUCAGUAAACUAAGCUACCAUGAAUUAAGUCAGAAUUAAUCCACAGUCACAAGUACAAUUCAUCCUUUAUUCCAUGUUGGCUUCAUUGAUAGAAAAAUUAAACUAUCAUUUAAAACCAUCAAAUCGCCCUCAUUCAUACCCAAACUAGAGAUCAAGUGAACUGCUUAGGCUUAAAUUUAUGGUUUAAUGAUUUUUUUAAUAUUUAUUUAUUUGAAAGAGUUACACAGAGAAAGAAGAAGAGGCAGAGAGAGAGAGAAAGAGAGGUCUUCCAUCCGCUGGUUCACUCCCCAAUUGGCCGCAACAGCUGGAACUGCACCAAUCUAAAGCCAGGAGCCAGGAGAUUCUUCUAGGUCUCCCAUGCCAGUGCAGGGGCCCAAGGACUUGGGCCAUCUUCUGCUUUCCUAGGCCAUAGCAGAGAGCUGGAUCAGAAGUAGAACAGCAGGGACUUGAACUGGCACCCAUGUGGGAUGCCGGCACUGCAGGUGGGGGCUUUACCCACUAAGCCACAGCACCAGCCCCAAUGAUUUUCAAAAAAGCCAAAGUACUCACUAUGCAGAAAGAAAGAGAAAGGCAAUGAUGAUGUGUCUCUAAAUUCCUAAAUUUAAAAACAAAACUAUUUAGCCCCAGCUCAGAGAAGCAGGUAGAGCAGUGCUCCCUUCUGCUGCCCCUGUGCACAAAUAAAAUCCAAUUUGGGUUAUAAACCAAAUUUUUAAAAAUUAUAUCACAGAAAUCACUCUAAAAAAUCUUUUGGGGGGGCCAGCACUGUGGUGUAGUGGGUAAAGCAAUCAACUUCAGUGUCAGCAUCCCAUAUGGGCGCCAG